Molecule: long non-coding RNA, 1689 nt
Organism: Rattus norvegicus (Norway rat)
Lineage: Eukaryota; Metazoa; Chordata; Mammalia; Rodentia; Muridae
Source: RefSeq, a predicted model, not a curated record
UCUCAAGGAAGGCUCAGACAGUCCCCAAAUGGGUGACAUCUUAUGACCUAACUGGCCAGCACUCGUCAAAGAGGGACUGGGGAAUUGUGGGUGGAGGAGGGUUAAGAGAUAUGACAAACCAACGCAAAAUGGGAUCUUGAUAAAAUCUGAGUGUACUCCAACUGUCCGGCGUUAUUUCCUGUUAAUUUUUUGGUUUUGAUAACUGUACCCUGGGUACGUGUGGUGUUGCUAUCUCUAGGAGCUGAGUAAACUGCCUUGAGGCUCUCUCCCCAUGGCUCUUUCUCAUUCCUUCCCCUCCCACCUUUACUCCGCCUGCCUGAGAUGAAGUCAGAUUUUCCAGGGUAGACCGUCAUUUAUCCAACGCUCGCUGCCCAUUCACUUUUCAGGAAACAUCCCCCACGGUCUUCCUAUUGAAGCUAAGGAGCAAAACAGCUUGGGGGUGGGGUGGGGGUGGGGAUGCCAGGCCAGUGUGUCAUCCUUGGCUGGAUGAAAAGAAGGUCAGAGGAUGUGAGCCAUGAAUGGGGCCUGCAGAUGUUCAAAUGGAGGUGGUGUUAAUCAGACAAAGGGCAGUUUGUAUGAACCAGAAUCAGGCCUGGCCUGUGAGGGAAAUGUAGUAGGGGCCAGAUUGUUUCCAAUCUCUGCUGUUCAGAGGUCAAGGGAUGCAGGCCUACUGUGUAUCACCAACUCUUCUGUGUAGGCCGUGUGUCUGCUGGAGUCGUAGGCAGGAGUCCAGACCCUAUGAGGAAACUUGACAAAAAAUGUGAUGAAAAUCCAAGACCUUUUCUGGCCAUCCUUGUGUUUAAACCUCAUAGCUCUCCAUGCUGGAAAGAAGGCAGCCUUGGACAAGCGAAAGGAGAAGUGUUCUACACUGGGAAAAGUCUCCACCCCAGAGCAGACCUCGAUAUGGGAGAGCUGACCAGAUGGGCAGGCGCUUUGUCUUUGUAGAAGCUCAUUUCUGAAUGGCCAGCAACCGUGCAAUGUGCAAAUCCCAGAGCUCAGCAGUGGAACACGGCAGGCCGGAGCAAGAGAUGAGGCCCACGUGCAAAGAAACAAGGACCACUGUCAGCUAGAGGAAUUCUCUAGAUCCUUCCAGAUACCGUGUUCAAAGCUCAGAUUCUGAUAUGAAGGCAUUUCUCAGCCCUGCAUGUGGGAGUCAUUUCAUAUCCAGUUCAUACACCCCCACCCCCAGGUUUUCUUAUGCCUCUGUCCUCCUUCAAUGGAUCUGGCUGCAUUCCCUGCUCCUCAGCGUCUCAAUGAGAAGCAGGCAGAGAGACUCCUGUGAACUCAUUUGCUCUCCCAGUUCCCUCUGCACCUGCUGCCUCCAGGGCAGUGAAUCCAGCCGUUUCCACAGCAAACAGUCAUAAACAGCCGGAAGCAGUCCAGCACUUCCGGCGCAGAAGCAGGGUGGGGAGUAACUGCUUUGGCAGAGUCCAUUUUCAUACAGAUGUUCUCAUCCAGAAAACCGGAGACUGCAGAGCAUGAAGUGGGUCGGGUUGCAAAUGACAAGGCCUGCGAAGUGCAUUAGGCUGAAGUUCAGACGAUGACUCAGAGCUUCCUCAAAGAUGACCUGCACCUCACAGCACGCCAACUGGGGGCCAGAGGUUUGGGAAAGGCGGGACACAGCUGAGGAAACUGAAACUGAAGAGGCCCACCCUGGUUGUGCAAACAAAGACCCAAACAUACACCUAC